RNAcentral lists this small nuclear RNA (153 nucleotides) under Pogona vitticeps (central bearded dragon). RNAcentral describes it as "U4 spliceosomal RNA (ENSPVIG00000021321.1)". It matches the Rfam family "U4 spliceosomal RNA". From Rfam's summary of the family: U4 small nuclear RNA (U4 snRNA) is a component of the major U2-dependent spliceosome. The structure of U4 snRNA from yeast and human has been reported. U4 snRNA presents a k-turn RNA motif in the 5p-SL related to recognition of Snu13 protein. The record is from Rfam by way of RNAcentral. Lineage: Eukaryota; Metazoa; Chordata; Lepidosauria; Squamata; Agamidae.
AGCUUUGUGCAGUGGCAGUAUCAUGGCCAGUGAGAUUAAUCUGAGGUGUGAUUAUUGUUAAUAGAAAUGUUUUCUCAGUACCCCACCUAGGUGACUUGCUAUAUAGUAAUGAUGACUUGAUGGGUUGUGAAAUGCUGAGAGAGUGUUUGCACU